Molecule: transfer RNA, 77 nt
Filed under: Shewanella hanedai
Lineage: Bacteria; Pseudomonadati; Pseudomonadota; Gammaproteobacteria; Alteromonadales; Shewanellaceae
Also listed under: 18 other names
Description: tRNA-Pro
Rfam family: tRNA
About the family: Transfer RNA (tRNA) molecules are approximately 80 nucleotides in length. Their secondary structure includes four short double-helical elements and three loops (D, anti-codon, and T loops).
Source: RNAcentral
CGGGAUAUGGCCUAGUCCGGUAAGGCGCUUGUCUGGGGGACAAGAGAUCGCAGGUUCAAAUCCUGCUAUCCCGACCA